AAAGAAUAAAAGCCUAUAUCUGUAUGGUUUGAACACUUGGGCAAAUACAGCUGCAGUUCAAUGAGGGAGCCAGAUGUGAACUCAGUAACGAUUUCUACCGAUUCACUGACUGAUUCGCGAGUCUUUUUUGAAUGACUUGUUAAAAAGAACCGUUUCAUAAGAGUCGUUUACUCAUGAAUCAGACAUCGAUGCUCGCGCUGUGUUCGACGCCGCUGCGCGCGGGUAGCUCGUACUUUUAAUAAAUGACUUACGAAAAACCAGUUAUGGACGCGCACAAAAUUUUCCUGACUAAAUUUUAAUAUCUUGUCGCAUUUGUGACUGAUUUAAUUGCAGUUUAGAGCACUGAUUUCCUUGACACAGAAGACACAGUCUUCUAAAGAAGCUGACAUGAUAAAAGAUGUACGCUGCCGUCAUUGCACCAUUCAUCACCUCGUGUACUUCCUGACAGCAGAUGACAGACAGAUUCCCAUGAUAUAUGGCAACAUUUCCCUGAAUAAAAAGACAGCGUGUACCCUAAAGGCUUUCUUCAUGCUGACAAGAUCCUAAAUACAGUCGACAAACCCAAGCAAUGACGCUAUGUUGUACCUGAGGUGCUUUGUUAUGGAUGACCUCACCUGAGCACAUGAAGAGAAUGAAGUCAUUGUUGAAGCCAUUAGUUGCUGCAGGGCUUCUCCACCCAGCAGAGAGGUAACAGCAGCGGUGGACUUCGGGUGGUCCCCAUGUGCGGCCUCCCCUCCGUUCCCUGACCUGGGGUUUGGGGUUUGGGAAGGAGGUGCAGAAGUGUGGUUGUCAUAGUUCAUGGUAGAGGAAACUUGAGAG
Molecule: long non-coding RNA, 819 nt
Organism: Onychostoma macrolepis
Lineage: Eukaryota; Metazoa; Chordata; Actinopteri; Cypriniformes; Cyprinidae
Exons: 3
Source: RefSeq, a predicted model, not a curated record